This 468-nucleotide ribosomal RNA is filed under the name uncultured bacterium. RNAcentral's name for it is "partial 16S ribosomal RNA". It matches the Rfam family "Bacterial small subunit ribosomal RNA", at positions 28 to 507 of the family's 1533-position model. The record is from RNAcentral.
GACGAACGCUGGCGGCGUGCUUAACACAUGCAAGUCGAACGGAAAGGCCCUGCUUUUGUGGGGUGCUCGAGUGGCGAACGGGUGAGUAACACGUGAGUAACCUGCCCUUGACUUUGGGAUAACUUCAGGAAACUGGGGCUAAUACCGGAUAGGAGCUCCUGCUGCAUGGUGGGGGUUGGAAAGUUUCGGCGGUUGGGGAUGGACUCGCGGCUUAUCAGCUUGUUUGUGGGGUAGUGGCUUACCAAGGCUUUGACGGGUAGCCGGCCUGAGAGGGUGACCGGCCACAUUGGGACUGAGAGACGGAGCAGACGCCUACGGGAGGCAGCAGUGGGGAAUAUUGCAGAAUGGGCGGAAGCCUGAUGCAGCAACGCCGCGUGCGGGAUGACGGGCUUCGGGUUGUAAACCGCUUUCGCCUGUGACGAAGAGUGAGUGACGGUAAUGGGUAAAGAAGCACCGGCUAACUACGUG